This 483-nucleotide ribosomal RNA is filed under the name uncultured bacterium. RNAcentral's name for it is "partial 16S ribosomal RNA". It matches the Rfam family "Bacterial small subunit ribosomal RNA", at positions 28 to 523 of the family's 1533-position model. The record is from RNAcentral.
GACGAACGCUGGCGGCGUGCUUUACACAUGCAAGUCGAACGGUGAAGGUGGAGCUUGCUCCGCCGGAUCAGUGGCGAACGGGUGAGUAACACGUGGGCAACCUGCCCCUAACUUUGGGAUAACUACUCGAAAGAGUAGCUAAUACCGGAUAUGAAGUCUGUAGGCAUCUACGGAUUUGGAAAGUUUUUCGGUUAGGGAUGGGCCCGCGGCCUAUCAGCUUGUUGGUGAGGUAGUGGCUCACCAAGGCGACGACGGGUAGCCGGCCUGAGAGGGCGACCGGCCACACUGGGACUGGGACACGGCCCAGACUCCUACGGGAGGCAGCAGUGGGGAAUAUUGCGCAAUGGGCGAAAGCCUGACGCAGCAACGCCGCGUGCGGGAUGAAGGCCUUCGGGUUGUAAACCGCUUUCAGCAGGGAAGAAGCGAAAGUGACGGUACCUGCAGAAGAAGCACCGGCAAACUCCGUGCCAGCAGCCGCGGUAA